CACAGUCAGAGAGGCUCACAAUAUCCUUGACAAUGCUUUCCAGAAACAUCCCUGGUGCCCAACUUCCUGGCUCCUUCAGUCUCAGCUCUGUGACUCCUCUCGAUGGGCGCAGGCUGGAGCCACAGCCCCUGGCCCUCAGCCAUUCUCUUUCCAGGUCAUGUGUCCGUGUCUGGCUUUGGAAUGCGGAAGAGCUGGCUCCUGCUCUGGGGGCUUUCAGCCGGAGCAGGCAGCCGGAAUCACACUUUCAUAUCCUGUGGCUUAUGUUUAUUGUAUUCCUGAUUUAUUGAUUUUAGAUAUUCUCUAUUGAUUCCUACUGUGGAAGAUGGAGAUACGGCCCUGUUACAUCACCUGGGCCCCCGCUUCUCUUCCCUCCAUCCUCUCAGAACAGGACCUGCUGCUGCCAAGCCAGACUUGAUCUCCAAACUGGAGCGGAGGGCUGCACCCUGGAUCAAGGACCCAAAUGGGCCAAAGUGGGGGAAAGGUCGUCCUCCAGGGAACAAGAAGAUGGCGGCAGUGAGAGAGGCAGACACACAGGCCUCGGCUGCAGACUCCGCGUUGCUU
This 561-nucleotide small RNA is filed under the name Pan troglodytes (chimpanzee). RNAcentral's name for it is "processed transcript". Lineage: Eukaryota; Metazoa; Chordata; Mammalia; Primates; Hominidae. The record is from RNAcentral.